This 2524-nucleotide long non-coding RNA is filed under the name Daucus carota (carrot). RNAcentral describes it as "long non-coding RNA (DCAR_LNC007671)". The record is from RNAcentral. Lineage: Eukaryota; Viridiplantae; Streptophyta; Magnoliopsida; Apiales; Apiaceae.
CCUUCUUAUUUGCCUAUCUGGCACGUCUUGUUUGCCCAUAUUGCACACUUGUUUGCCCAUCUGGCCUUUUUUUUCUUGCCCAUCUGGCACUUUUUUCUUGCCCAUCUGGCACGUUCACCUCCAUUUGAUUUCACCGGAAAAAUAGAGAACACAACUUCCCCCCGUAACUCUCUCGACUUAAAAAAUCAUUGCUUUUUAAGCAAAAAUAUCUCUCACAAACACGUUCACCUCUAUAUCAUUUCCUGCCUUCAGUAAGCUUCUCCGGCAUCGCCUCACCUUUCACGGCAGCUCCUACUACACAUGCAUCCCAUACUACACAUGCAGCUUUGCCACCAUGCUUUUGCAACGCCUACCUGUAACUAUCUCGUCACACACUUAUUCUGCGGCUCCACCACCACCUGGCGGCGGAACAACGAAACCUGGCUCUGAUACCAUGUAGAAAUAAACUAUAAAACUGAUGACUUCAAAUUAAACAAGAUGAAUAUAUAUGUACAAGAGCAACUGAACUCCAAAGACUACAUUGUAUUUCUCCUGAUAUAUUAAAAGAGAUACAUCACAUAAUAUAUAAAGGCUACCCAACAAAGUGAUAGCAACUAACUAGUGUCCACCUGAACCUAAACUCUACUACUCCAUGAUCCUAAAAACACUCAUUACUAAUCCAAUACUCUCCCACAAUUUCUCUAACUUAUCCUCUACUAAUAAAACAAUUAGUGAUUAUACUAAUUUAUUUAUUUCAAGUUUAGAUUAUUAGAAUAUAAUUCCAACAAUCUCCCCCUUAAUCUAAACUUAGCUUCUAUGCCCGUCUGGCAAGUUCUUCGGUGCCCAUCUGACUUUCUUUAUUGGCCCGUAUGACCUUUUGAACUGAGCCCGUAUGGCUAUUUUGUUUUGCCCGUCUGGCUACGUCUUCAUCUGCCCGUAUGGCUUUCAAUUUAGCCCGUAUGGCUUUCAACCCAUUUGGUUUUCAACUUAGCCCGUAUGACCCUUCUUAUUUGCCUAUCUGGCACGUCUUGUUUGCCCAUAUUGCACACUUGUUUGCCCAUCUGGCCUUUUUUUUCUUGCCCAUUUGGCACUUUUUUCUUGCCCAUCUGGCACGUUCACCUCCAUUUGAUUUCACCGGAAAAAUAGAGAACACAACUUCCCCCCGUAACUCUCUCGACUUCAAAAAUCAUUGCUUUUCAAGCAAAAAUAUCUCUCACAAACACGUUCACCUCUAUAUCAUUUUCUGCCUUCAGUAAGCUUCUCUGGCAUCGCCUCACCUUUCACGGCAGCUCCUACUACACAUGCAUCCCAUACUACACAUGCAGCUUUGCCACCAUGCUUUUGCAACGCCUACCUGUAACUAUCUCGUCACACACUUAUUCUGCGGCUCCACCACCACCUGGCGGCGGAACAACAAAACCUUGCUCUGAUACCAUGUAGAAAUAAACUAUAAAACUGAUGACUUCAAAUUAAACAAGAUGAAUAUAUAUGUACAAGAGCAACUGAACUCCAAAGACUACAUUGUAUUUCUCCUGAUAUAUUAAAAGAGAUACAUCACAUAAUAUAUACAUAAAGGCUACCCAAAAAAGUGAUAGCAACUAACAAGUGUCCACCUGAAACUAAACUCUACUACUCCAUGAUCCUAAAAACACUCAUUACUAAUCCAAUACUAAUCCAAUACUCUCCCACAAUUUCUCUAACUUAUCCUCUACUAAUAAAACAAUUAGUGAUUAUACUAAUUUAUUUAUUUCAAGUUUAGAUUAUUAGAAUAUAAUUCCAACAAUCUCCCCCUUAAUCUAAACUUAGCUUCUAUGCCCGUCUGGCAAGUUCUUCGGUGCCCAUCUGACUUUCUUUAUUGGCCCGUAUGACCUUUUGAACUGAGCCCGUAUGGCUAUUUUGUUUUGCUCGUCUGGCUACGUCUUCAUCCGUAUGGCUUUCAAUUUAGCCUGUAUGGCUUUCAACCCAUUUGGUUUUCAACAUAGCCCGUAUGACCCUUCUUAUUUGCCUAUCUGGCACGUCUUGUUUGCCCAUAUUACACACUUGUUUGCACAUCUGGCCUUUUUUUUCUUGCCCAUUUGGCACUUUUUUCUUGCACAUCUGGCACGUUCACCUCCGUUUGAUUUCACCGGAAAAAUAGAGAACACAACUUCCCCCGUAACUCUCUCGACUUCAAAAAUCAUUGCUUUUUAAGCAAAAAUAUCUCUCACAAACACGUUCACCUCUAUAUCAUUUUCUGCCUUCAGUAAGCUUCUCCGGCAUCGCCUCACCUUUCACGGCAGCUCCUACUACACAUGCAUCCCAUACUACACAUGCAGCUUUGCCACCAUGCUUUUGCAACGCCUACCUGUAACUAUCUCGUCACACACUUAUUCUGUGGCUCCACCACCACCUGGCGGCGGAACAACAAAACCUGGCUCUGAUACCAUGUAGAAAUAAACUAUAAAACUGAUGACUUCAAAUUAAACAAGAUGAAUAUAUAUGUACAAGAGCAAAUGAACUCCAAAGACUACAUUGUAUUUCUCCUGAUAUAUUAAAAGAGAUACAU